GAGGCACACUUGAAUCUGAGGCGUAGGUUUGAAAAAUCGUUUGAAUUCAACGCCUCGGAUUUGUUCGACAAUGAAGGGCUUAGAUUGACUGAGAUUCGAUCUAACGGCUUGGGUUCGUCCUAGACCUCUAUAAGAGGUGAGAAAAUUCUAUUUUUCAGGAUUUUUGAACACUUGCAAUCUGAUUCUCUCUCAAAUCUUGAACUUUCCGGCGUCGAGGCUGCUUGUUCUUUGAUUUUC
Molecule: long non-coding RNA, 237 nt
Filed under: Olea europaea (common olive)
Lineage: Eukaryota; Viridiplantae; Streptophyta; Magnoliopsida; Lamiales; Oleaceae
Description: long non-coding RNA (OEUR_LNC010893)
Source: RNAcentral